This 91-nucleotide non-coding RNA is filed under the name Prorocentrum micans. The record is from RNAcentral. Lineage: Eukaryota; Dinophyceae; Prorocentrales; Prorocentraceae.
UUUUUUUUUUUUUUUUUUUUUUUGAUUUUCAUUGCAACUAAAGGGAAGCACUUUCACAAGUCGCGAAGUUCGAUCGCGGAUUUAAACAUUA